AUAUUGCACAAUGGGGGAAACCCUGAUGCAGCCAUGCCGCGUGUGUGAAGAAGGCCUUCGGGUUGUAAAGCACUUUCAGCGAGGAGGAAAGGUCAGUAGCUAAUAUCUGCUGGCUGUGACGUUACUCGCAGAAGAAGCACCGGCUAACUCCGUGCCAGCAGCCGCGGUAAUACGGAGGGUGCAAGCGUUAAUCGGAAUUACUGGGCGUAAAGCGCACGCAGGCGGUUGGAUAAGUUAGAUGUGAAAGCCCCGGGCUCAACCUGGGAAUUGCAUUUAAAACUGUCCAGCUAGAGUCUUGUAGAGGGGGGUAGAAUUCCAGGUGUAGCGGUGAAAUGCGUAGAGAUCUGGAGGAAUACCGGUGGCGAAGGCGGCCCCCUGGACAAAGACUGACGCUCAGGUGCGAAAGCGUGGGGAGCAAAC
This 420-nucleotide ribosomal RNA is filed under the name uncultured bacterium. Its description in RNAcentral is "bacterial SSU rRNA". It matches the Rfam family "Bacterial small subunit ribosomal RNA", at positions 361 to 773 of the family's 1533-position model. The record is from RNAcentral.